Oryctolagus cuniculus (rabbit) is the source of this 3131-nucleotide non-coding RNA. NCBI's taxonomy places the organism in Eukaryota, Metazoa, Chordata, Mammalia, Lagomorpha, Leporidae. The record is from RefSeq and is a predicted model, not a curated record.
CCAAGGGUUGCAGCAGAGAGAGCACAAGAUGUGUUAAACUUAGAACACAAUGUGCAAGUUCCGGGUGGGGCUGUUGGAGGGGCAUCUUUCUUUCUUUCCGGCGAAAAUGAUUCCUUUCCAAACAAGGAAGUGGCUCUUCCUCGCUGCCCAGCUAGUGCCCUUGUAUUUGUUCAGCUGCUGACUUGAAGAGGACGUCUGCAUUCCUGGAGAUGUCAGUGAAUCUGAAAGUCUUCACCCUAGGGACCAUUGGCUACCUGGGAUCACAUCCCAGAUAAACUACUGACACCUGAGUCUUCAUCGCAGGCUCUGUUAGGCCAAGGCACGUGGAAACCAGCUCCUUAAAAUUGUGACGGUCAUGACGACGGGAAUGUAGGACACUCAGCGUUUUGUCACAUAGAGAGUCAAAAGCCCUGGAAGUGUCCAAGUCAACAAAUGCCGUGAUGAGUUUCAACUGUAGGGAACUUCCUGAAUUCAGCUCUGGCCACUGGCGAAGGCCUUGAAGUUAACUCUUCGGAAGGCUGAGCUGAGAAGUGUUAACAUUUGCUUCAGGAACUCUAGCAGGCCAUGUCUUCCAAACCCCUCUCAUCUACAGGUGAGCAAACAAGUCCCUGUGGAGUUACUUGGCUAGUAGAUGCUCACAGUGACCUAACUCAGAAUAAAACUCACUUCUGAGGACUCCCUUUGGCUUUUCUUUCUGUACCACUACCAUCUCUUGUCCAUCACGUCGUCAGAGAUGCACCAGGGACAUCUUUUGGUCAAGGACAAAUCUUUUUGUGAACACUUGCUUCCUCAUUUAGCUCUUUCACAAGUCUUAUUUUUCAUUUGUCAGAUUAAAAAAAAAUCAGAACAGCUCAAUGCUUUAAAAUAAUGAAGCCACAAAGAAGUUCUAUUUAACCUCAAUGCCAUGAAAGCAUGAAAAACUACAUGUUGACAUUAAUGGUAGAUUUUCACUCUAAGGAAAAAUGUAGUUCCUCUAAUUGACUCGAUGGAAUCUAUGCAUUCUGAUUUUUUUUUUUUAGUAAAAUGGCCAAUCUGGUGAGGAAGGAAUGUUAGAGUGAAAAGAGAAGCUACAGAAAAAAGAGAGGGAAAAAAAAUCAGAGCAUAAAUAUAUCAAAACUCUCCUCACUAAGACACUAGAAAGAGCUCACAGAGAAUUCAAGAAAAUUAUAUUUUUGGCACCCAUCUGAACCUCAAAACUAUUUAUUUGUAUUUGUUUAUUUAAAUGAGGGCUCUUCAAAAAGCUUGUGGAAAGUGUGUAUUAUGAAAAGACUGAGCAUGGAUGCCAAGAUUAUUUUUGCACCAAGAUCAACCAAUCUUUUAAUCCCAUUUUCCUCGCAUACUUUUUGAGUCACCUCGUGUUUCCUGUUACUUCCCCUGAGAGGAGUUGAAGGAACAAUGCCCUUCAGAUAAGAUUAUACAUACACAGUAUUUAUUGAUCCUUUAUCAUUAGGCAAUAAUUACAUCCACAUUAACCCAUUGAACUUGUUUAUCAAAAUAUCUAUAGGAGACAAUGAUUCUUCCUCCAUUUAUAAUUGGUCAAAUGACACCCACUUUCCUAAGAUAUGUCCACCUGGAACCUAAAAUUGUAAGCUCACUUGGAAAAAGUCUUUGCACAUGCAAUUAAGACAGGGUCUUGAGAUCAUCCUGGAUUAUCUGGGUGGGCUUCAAGGCCAACGGGAAGGGUCCUCACAGGAAGAGAAGUCUCAGAGGUGAAGAUCAGGGGACAACAGAGGCAGAGAUGGGAGUGCUGCAUCUAGAAGCCAAGGAGUGCCAAGGAUCGUCCGUGGCCCCGGAGGCCAGGAGAGAGGCGCUGCCCACCCCCAGCCGGAGUGCCACGGAUUGCCUGAGGCACUGCCCACCCCCAGAGCCUCCAGAAGGAGCCCCCGUGCACACCUUGGUUUAGUGCUCACCCCCGGACCUGAGAGAGAAUAGACUCCUGCUGUUUUAAGCCCCCAGUUUGUGGCAGUUUUUGAGAGCAGUCCUAGGAAAUGCACACGUUAUCUGAUAAAUUUAGUCAUCGCCAUCCAGAAAGCAUAAGUAACUCAGCUAAGUCAUACAAACCAAAGUGCCAGAGCUGAGAUUAAAAUCCACAGAUUAGCUGAUCCUAACACCAGAUGAAGAUUUUUUUAAAAAGCAUAGAAUGCAUGAAGAAUUGCAUGAGAAGCCCUUCCACAAAAGCUAAUAGUAGCUCACAGGAUGCAGGGGCUUGGGGUGACGUUCUUCUUUUACAAUAUUCUUGAAACUGCCCACAUUUUAGAAAAUGGUCCAUAUUGGCUACCUACUUCGCAGAAGAAUUGGGCAAUUUUGUUGAGGGACAGUGCAUCCUAACAGAGUGUUAACUGAAACAGGCAGCCCGGCUCCGCCAUUGUGGGCAUCUGGGGAGCGAACUAGCGGAUGGGAGCUCCCUCGCACUCUCUGACUCUCACGUAAAUAAAUAUUUAAAGAUACAUGCAAGUUCAAAGAUUCAUCUUUGACUUCUACAUCCACAUCUCUCAGGGGAGCCUCGCUCAUUAAUUACGUCAUUAACUCAACAAGUGUUUACUGACUUUGCCAGCUCUGCCGCUGCUGAAGAUGGAAGGGCGAUCCGUCGCAUUCCCAUCAGGAAACAGGACAAACUUGAGUUUUUCAGAGAGUUUGGGCAGCAUUUAGGCGGAGCAGAAAGGGGAGUGCAGCUCCAGGAGCCGGCAACCUGGGGGCUUUUCCCACCUCUAGGCCAGAGGGAGAGGAGCAGAGAGCACUGUAGAGAGGCCUCCUUCCAAGAGCUGUGAGCUGCGUGGAGGACGUGCGGGGCUGGGUGGGGCUGUCCUGAGCCUUUGCAGGCGGUUUGGAAGCAGCCCUGGCUGGUAGCCCCACCACCUCCCAAUGUGACAGCUGGUCACCGUGGCUUCAGACAUGGACCAGUGUCCCCUAGGGGACGUAGAGCCUACAUUGUAUUAGAGGCCACGAGUAAUGUAGAGUUGAUGCCUAUGAGAUGACGUAUAUGUUUAUACAAAUGAUGACGUCAUUUCCUGUAGCUGUGCCCCCAGUGGAGUACCACCGGCCUGGAGGUGAAGCCGCAGUGUAGGGACUCCCCAAGGAGGUGGAAUCCUAGUCCUCUACUUGUUUUCCCAAGAGGCAGGUGGUGCACUUGA